CAAUAGCGUAUAUUUAAGUUGCUGCAGUUAAAAAGCUCGUAGUUGGAUUUCGGGUGGGAAUGGCCGGUCCGCCGUUUCGGUGUGCACUUGCUACGCCCACCUUGCUGCCGGGGACGUGCUCUUGAGUUCACGCUCGGGACACGGAGUCGGCGAGGUUACUUUGAGUAAAUUAGAGUGUUCAAAGCAGGCCUACGCUCUGAAUACAUUAGCAUGGAAUAACACGAUAGGACUCUGGCCUAUCUUGUUGGUCUGUAGGACCGGAGUAAUGACUAAGAGGGACAGUCGGGGGCAUUCGUAUUUCAUUGUCAGAGGUGAAAUUCUUGGAUUUAUGAAAGACGAACUACUGCGAAAGCAUUUGCCAAGGAUGUUUUCAUUAA
Molecule: ribosomal RNA, 377 nt
Filed under: uncultured eukaryote
Lineage: Eukaryota
Description: partial 18S ribosomal RNA
Rfam family: Eukaryotic small subunit ribosomal RNA
Source: RNAcentral